GCGCCUUCCGGGCCGGGGCUUCCACGACUUCCGGUUCCGGGUGACAGUUCGGGUCCGCUAGAGACUUCCAGGCCGGCUGUGCGUGAAAAAGCGAGCACCGCUGUCUUUCUCAACGCCGGAGAAAACAGAAGCGAACAAGCGAAGCGGACUCAACACCGCGACCGUAGACCCACCUGGACAACGACAACAAUGACUUCGACUAAGAAAGAAAACCAUGACUUUGACGCGGAUCCACUCACCACUGCAAGGGGGAAGCGGCUUGGCGGGAUGCCUGCCGUGCCAGCCGGAGGCGAUCGUUGUCGGAGGAGGAGAAUAUGCUUUCGAGGCGCCAGCGUCCAUGCUAUUGUAGCAGCAUCGACGAAGAUGAGGAGAAGGGCGGCUGGCUAGGGACAGGCCUAGGAAGCGAAGCGGGCGCGUGGCCCAAAUCACGGGAUUUUAUCCGCCGAAGAAUGACCGUCAGUUAGGGCAUGUUCCUGCUCAGUAAAAAAUAUACUCCUGUUUAUUGUGGCUCAUCGUCA
Molecule: long non-coding RNA, 518 nt
Organism: Dermacentor albipictus
Lineage: Eukaryota; Metazoa; Arthropoda; Arachnida; Ixodida; Ixodidae
Source: RefSeq, a predicted model, not a curated record